Molecule: ribosomal RNA, 467 nt
Filed under: uncultured bacterium
Lineage: Bacteria
Description: partial 16S ribosomal RNA
Rfam family: Bacterial small subunit ribosomal RNA
Source: RNAcentral
GACGAACGCUGGCGGCGUGCUUAACACAUGCAAGUCGAACGGAAAGGCCCUGCUUUUGUGGGGUGCUCGAGUGGCGAACGGGUGAGUAACACGUGAGUAACCUGCCCUUGACUUUGGGAUAACUUCAGGAAACUGGGGCUAAUACCGGAUAGGAGCUCCUGCUGCAUGGUGGGGGUUGGAAAGUUUCGGCGGUUGGGGAUGGACUCGCGGCUUAUCAGCUUGUUGGUGGGGUAGUGGCUUACCAAGGCUUUGACGGGUAGCCGGCCUGAGAGGGUGACCGGACAAUUGGGGAGGGGGAUACGGCCCGAGCCCAUAGGGGGGGGAGGGGGGGGGAAUUUGGCAAAAGGGGCGGAGGCCGGAUGAGGAAAGGCCGGGGGGGGGAGGAGGGCCUUGGGGUGGGAAACCGCUUUGGCCUGUGAGGAAGGGUGAGGGAGGGGAAUGGGGAAAGAAACACGGGUAAACUACGG